Long non-coding RNA from Homarus americanus (American lobster), 492 nucleotides. RefSeq lists it as uncharacterized. NCBI's taxonomy places the organism in Eukaryota, Metazoa, Arthropoda, Malacostraca, Decapoda, Nephropidae. The record is from RefSeq and is a predicted model, not a curated record. The transcript has 2 exons.
UGCGGCUUCUUCAACCUUGAGCUGUGACCCCUUGUGGGGCGAGCGUCCGCCAGCUCCAGGUCACUAGCCAUUUGGGCAGUUAUUCUGUGAGUACAAGAGGAAACUGGAGUACCGGGAGAAAACCUGUCAUGUUUGGUAGAGAGGGUCACACUGGAUAAAACCUUUCUCACAUGUCAUAGGACAAGAUUGAACCUAGUACACAGUUGGGAGAAAUAUGCACAUUACUACUACACUACUGUACCAACACCCCAUAGUAUUAAUCAGUUCUAUAUUGGUAUCUAUACUGUGCGAUGUGAUACACUAGUCACUAGGAAACAUGUCCAGUUGCACUUUAUGGGAAAGGAAAAAGUAAAUUCAUGGGUUACAAAGUGCUCUAUCAUCUACUGAACAUACAAUGAACCUCAGCUGCCUCUCUCCAGUUACUACAUUAUUCUAAUAUGGACCGUGGUCUUGUCUUUCACUUUUAUGAUAAUAAAAAAUACUACAAUGUCA